GCGCUUCACUGGGCAGCCCUCCCCGCUGCGGGGGAGCCCAGCCGAGCCGAGCCGAGCGGGGCGCUGCUGCCGUUCCCUGCUCCUCAGCGGCCCUGCGCAGCCGCCUCCUCUUGCGGGAGGAAGUGGGUCUCCUCGGCAGAGGCUCCCGGGAAGCCGCCCCGAGGCCCUUCCCGCUGGUGGCCGACGGAGGGGUCUCCCCGAGCGGUUUCGGGGAGGGCAGGCUGGGAAAGGGGCGUUUGCUGGUUUCAUUUUUUCCGGUUCCUGGCAGCGUUUCGUCUUGGGUUUGUGGGGCGAUUUAGGUCAUCUCUGAGGCAUCCCCCUGCUCCCCCCUUCCCACGGCUGAGACAUCAGUAACUGAAAGGAAGCCGUGUGGCUUUUUAGAUCGAUUUCUAACUCACGUUUCCCCAUAUUUAUUCUUACGGUACUUUAUUUCCUUUAUGUCCUGCAUUCAUGGUUCCUGUACCAUCCCUCUUGUCUGCUUUGUGAUCGCUCUGCCAGCACCAACUACGCUGCCCUCCUGUGCUUUGAAUCUUUUUCCCUUCAAAGUGAUCCAGUAUGUUUCCUCACUGCUCAACCCUUUCCACCCCUACAUUUCUUAGGCUCUGUGUUAAUGAACAAAACCUAAAUGGUAGUCUUGAGGUCCAACUAUUCUGCACUAUCUGUGGUUUUCACAUUUCCACCACGCAAAGAGCAAGAUUUAUCAGGAAGGCCAGAUCUGAAGUGAUUUUAGUGACAUGGGUUUGAACUCCAAGUACCAGAUCAUAGCUCAAGUUCAGUGUCACAGGGCCUUUGCCCACCCUCGUGGAUACCAGAGUUACUGGCUGAAUAUGCCAGGUCAUGUCACAGGCUCUGAACUCACUCACAGGCCUUACAGGUCUUCGCUUCACCACACUGCUGUGAGUGCUGAGGGAGGCUGAAGCUCCUUCAUUCUGCAGGUGGAUCUGCACUAUGCUGUCUAGGUGGAGACCAGCAUAUAUAUUAAUUUGCAGCAGCAGCAAGCUCCUGAUCUUGAGGAACUCCAUGCGCAGCUUAUGCUAGCCAGUCCUUCUCCACAGUAGGGCCAAGUGGGAGCUGCCUUCACAGGAGCAGAGCCAGCUGAAAAUUCCCCUGCUUCCAGCUCUGUUGACCCUUCCAGCAGCACGAGGAAACCAGAACACAGACGAGUAUGUUUCCCAGUAAACAGAAGUCAUUUGCUCUUGCCUAAAAAAAGAGUGCAAGCAUGAAACCACUUCUUACAUGCACAGAAAUUCACUUUGUUCAUACUGAUGUAGGCCUCUGGUGAAAUUGGUUUAGGAUAAAAAAGAAGUAAAUAUGACUCAGAAACACACUUGCUGUUUCUACAGACAAAACAUGACUACCAAGGUAUUUCUGAAUGUUUUCAAGAUGUAGGAUAGCUACCUUACAUUUGCAAAACUUGUGGGAUUUUUAAUAACACAGGGAAAGCAGACACACAAGCUUUGAACUUCCUGGUAAUGCAAAGAUACUCCUUAUGGAUCUCCUUUAAAGCUCAGGAACUACCAGUUCUAGCUAGACCUACCAGUUUUCCUAAUCUUUGAAUGCUAACAAGAUGAUGUGUGUUUUGUUUUAUCUUAUUCAAUUUUGGGUAAGUAAUAUAAUUAUAAAUGAUAGUGUGCAAGUUUGUUACUAUAUACAUGAUUUGUGAAGCAAGUUCGUGAGCCAGCACAGCAAUGAGUGCAUUUAUUGCAGCACAUCCAAGUAAAUGCUGUUCCAUAUAUGAGGUACAGAGAGAAAGUGGAAGUUUAUGAAGCCAUAUUUUUAAGUAUUAAACAUAUCAGUAAAAUAUGCUUGUUUUACUUGAUACAUAUCCAUGUUUGCUGUUGAUACUUCUGUUAUGACAGGAAAAGUAAUUAUGGCAAACAAAAGAAGAAACUAAAAAAAAGAGCUGUUAGGAUGAGUAACCCAAGAAACAAGGGGUCAACACUGAUCGCAGUAUAAUCAGAGUAUUUUAAGGUUUUUCACUUGUAAUGGGGAGAAUAAUUAGUUAAGAGAGGAGAGUUUGUAACAGUAUAACACUUGAUAUCCAUUUGGUCAUUGUAUCUGCCACUACUUCAUGUCCCGAGACAAAGAUUUUCACAUCUGGGCAAAAGAUAGUACAUAAGCAAGACAGAGUGACAGACAUAAGUUUGAAAUGUAGGCACUGAUUUUGAUUAAUUUAUCCCAUAGGCCUGCUUUUAUAUCUAUUGCUUUGUUUUACUAUUUAGUAGAUUAUGUAGCAAUCAAUCAUAUUUCCAUCUAGCUAACCAUGAUUAUUAAUAUUUUAAACUAGUUUUAAGAUGGAUUGGCUGGUGAGUGCAAUAGGUCUGCUCUCUAAGCUAGUGAGAAUGGAAUACACCCAGGUUACAUGCAAUGAAUUAUUGCCACUGGACAAUCUGAUGAAAUCUACAUCAGCCAUUAGAAUAUAAAUCCAGCAGCAGGAAUACAGUGCUGUCAGGGGACUGAGAUUUCCUGCUUUGAAAAUAAACAUACUGGCUUUACCUCUGCAUUUAUUGAACAAAAGUACAUAGUUUUUCUGUGACAGUAAAAGUAUAGGAGUUAAAUCAGUGGAGUUCACUUAAUGGUAGAUGGAAACCUUACAGAAACGUAUGCAUUUUUCACACAAUGUAUGUGGAAAGCAGUUACUUUCCUGCCAAAAGCCAAACUCAGGAUUCUGUGUCACAGCAUCAGGAGUCAGCAACCUCACAAUCAGCCAGCAGUGUGGGAAAGCAUUGUGCUAAACUACAAGGGAUGUGUUCAUUUGCAGGGGAAAGACUGAAAGUCUCGGCAGGUUAUUAAAAGAGGAAAUGAUUUUCAAAUACAAUAUUCUGUUUUGAAAUGCAAUUGUUUUUUUCUAUUGGAUGCCAAAAAUUUCUGAAGAAUGCAAUAUCCUCUAACUAAUUGUAUCUGUGCUCCGAGAAAAGAAACAGAGCUAUUGUUCUCCUCACAGCAGGAGCUAUUUUUAUAUUAGUCUGUGUAGCACUCCUUUGUGUAAUGAUUGUCUUCUACCUACACAAACUUCAAUCCAUUUAAAAUAAUCAAAUUAAGAUAGUUUCUUGCUUUCUUAUACCAAGUUGGUAUUCAUAUAGAGUGUUUUCUAGGUUACUUGGAUUUGGUACAAGGCCUUUAGGCUAAAAAAAGUAAAAUUCUCUUACCUCAGUCGAAGACCAAACCCCUUCCUCUUUGAAUGAAUGGAAGCAGGAAGUAGCAACAAGAAGGAGGUUGCCCUUGCAAGAAACAAAAGGUUCUUCUGCUAACAAGACCUGUAGCAUUUCUACCAUGAUUUCUACCAUCAUUUCUACAAUGACCACUGAUAACUGGUCAUUGACUUAGUUGCACUGUAUACUUCACAUAGAAGGAGGGAAAGCUACUAUUUGUUCUUGUAAACCUUGCUUUUUGCCAAGCAGGAGAGUGUUCUCAAAGUGCAAAUAGUGGAGUAGUCAUUAUCUGCACUUGAGAUUUUCAUUUAUGUAGUAAUACAGGUGUUUGGAGACUGAUCAACUGCUGGAGAAAUUACCGUUACUGGAAGGUCUGUGUCAUCCUAUCCAUAUUCCCUAUCUCUAUUUUGUUAUUUAUUAGCAUAUAAUUAUUUGUAAUAUAUGACAUGACAUACAUAUGACAUAUCAUUGUCACUGUUUUCUUGCUUUAUGUUGCUUAACCUUUUAGUUACCGUAUGUAACUUCACAAUAUCCUAUCAGAAUGCUACCUAAAUAUUGUUUCUCAUUUCCUUA
Long non-coding RNA from Chiroxiphia lanceolata (lance-tailed manakin), 3725 nucleotides. RefSeq lists it as uncharacterized. The transcript has 2 exons. NCBI's taxonomy places the organism in Eukaryota, Metazoa, Chordata, Aves, Passeriformes, Pipridae. The record is from RefSeq and is a predicted model, not a curated record.